GGUUGAGUCCGGCUUUCGUGGUGGCAGUUCCCAGGUGUCCCAGCUUCUUUGGUUCUGCGUUAUUUGAGCACAGGAGCCUGGGGACGAUGCUGUGAAGAUGGACAUGGCAUCUGUGACUUUUGAAGAUAUGUGUGUGUCAAGUUCACCAAGGCAGAGUGGGCUUUGCUGGAUCCUUCACAACAGAAACUGUACAGGGAUGUGAUGGUAGAAACCUUCAGGAACCUGGCCUCUGUUGACGUCAAGUGGUGGGGAGAUUCUGUGACCAAAAAGAAGAUAUUCAGUGUGGAGAAGUCUUCAGCCAUACUCCAGAUCAUAUUAUGAGCAAUAAUACUCCUACUAGAGUGGGACCAAAUUAAAACUCUGUAAAAGGAAGUCUUUAUCAACCAUCCAUCCCUGAGUCUGCCCUUCAGAACUCUAGAGUGGACCCAGGCCACAUGAGUAUCAGGAAUAUGGAGAAAAGCCAUUUAAAUGGAAGGAUUCUGAGAUAGCCUUUCCUACUUCCAGACUCCUUAAAUGGCAUGAAAGAAGUCACACUGGAGAGGCACCCUUUGUAUGUAAGCAGUGCAGACAUACACUUUUUUGUGGGAGUGGCAUUUGCAAACAUGAACUGACUCAUGGUAGAGAAAAACUGUAUGUUUGUAUGCCAUGUGGGAAAUCCAUCUCACAUUUGUGCGCUGUUGAAAAACAUGAAAGAUCUUCCAGUACAUAGAAACCCUAUGUAUGCAAGCAAUGUGGAAUAGCUUUUAGUUCUUCCACUUACCUGAAAAAACAUGAAAGAACUCACAUGGGAGUGAAGCCCAUUACAUGUAAGCAAUGUGGAAAAGCCUUUAGUUCAUGCAAUUACCUCAAAAAACAUGAACAAAUUCAUACUGAAGCAAAACAUAACGCAUGUAAA
Castor canadensis (American beaver) is the source of this 895-nucleotide RNA transcript. RefSeq lists it as uncharacterized. Lineage: Eukaryota; Metazoa; Chordata; Mammalia; Rodentia; Castoridae. The record is from RefSeq and is a predicted model, not a curated record.